RNAcentral lists this ribosomal RNA (750 nucleotides) under fungal sp. RNAcentral describes it as "eukaryotic LSU rRNA". The stretch from base 210 to 364 matches the Rfam family "5.8S ribosomal RNA". The record is from RNAcentral. Lineage: Eukaryota; Fungi.
CUGCGGAGGGUCAUUACCGAGUUAGGGUCUCACCGGCCCGAUCUCCCAACCCUUUGUCUACUUGACCAUCGUUGCUUCGGCGAGCCCGUCCUCACGGACCGCCGGGGGGUCUUUGUACCCCUUGGCCCGCGCUCGUCGAUAGCCCCCAAAUUUAAAAAAUCUUAACUAAACGUGUCUUGAAUCUAAGUAUUAUUGUUAAAUAAAAACAAAACUUUCAACAACGGAUCUCUUGGUUCUGGCAUCGAUGAAGAACGCAGCGAAAUGCGAUAAGUAAUGCGAAUUGCAGAAUUCCAGUGAGUCAUCGAAUCUUUGAACGCACAUUGCGCCCUUUGGUAUUCCGAAGGGCAUGCCUGUUCGAGCGUCAUUAUCACCCCUCAAGCCCUCGGCUUGGUGUUGGACGGUUUGGUGGAGACCCCCCUCGGGUGGGCUUCUACCCCUCCCAAAGACAAUGACGGCGGCCUCGUUGGACCCCCGGUACACUGAGUUCUUCACGGGACACGUAUCGGACACAUGGGUUUACGGGACACGGUCUGCCUCCCCUCAGGGAGAAUCUUUUUUUUAUCAAGGUUGACCUCGGAUCAGGUAGGGAUACCCGCUGAACUUAAGCAUAUCAAUAAGCGGAGGAAAAGAAACCAACAGGGAUUGCCUCAGUAACGGCGAGUGAAGCGGCAACAGCUCAAAUUUGAAAUCUGGCCUCUUUGGGGUCCGAGUUGUAAUUUGUAGAGGAUGUUUCGGGUACCGCCUCGGUUU